AGAGUUUGAUCAUGGCUCAGAAUCAACGCUGGCGGCGUGCCUCAGACAUGCAAGUCGAACGAUUAAAGCUCCCUUCGGGGAGUGCAUAAAGUGGCGCACGGGUGAGUAACACGUAAGUAAUCUACCUUCGAGUGGGGAAUAACCCGGGGAAACCCGAGCUAAUACCGCAUAACGCAGCGGCAUCGCAAGAUGACAGUUGUUAAAGGAGCAAUCCGCUUGAAGAGGAGCUUGCGGCAGAUUAGCUAGUUGGUAAGGUAACGGCUUACCAAGGCUACGAUCUGUAUCCGGUCUAAGAGGACGGUCGGACACACUGACACUGAAUAACGGGUCAGACUCCUACGGGAGGCAGCAGUCGGGAAUUUUGGGCAAUGGGGGAAACCCUGACCCAGCAACGCCGCGUGAAGGAUGAAGUAUUUCGGUAUGUAAACUUCGAAAGAAUGGGAAGAAUAAAUGACGGUACCAUUUAUAAGCUCCGGCUAACUACGUGCCAGCAGCCGCGGUAAUACGUAGGGAGCAAGCGUUGUUCGGAUUUACUGGGCGUAAAGGGCGCGUAGGCGGCGCGGUAAGUCACUUGUGAAAUCUCUGAGCUUAACUCAGAACGGCCAAGUGAUACUGCAGUGCUAGAGUGCAGAAAGGGCAAUCGGAAUUCUUGGUGUAGCGGUGAAAUGCGUAGAUAUCAAGAGGAACACCUGAGGCGAAGGCGGGUUGCUAGGCUGACACUGACGCUGAGGCGCGAAAGCCAGGGGAGCAAACGGGAUUAGAUACCCCGGUAGUCCUGGCCCUAAACGAUGAAUACUUGGUGUCUGGAGUUCUAAUACUCCGGGUGCCGUCGCUAACGUUUUUAGUAUUCCGCCUGGGGAGUACGCUCGCAAGAGUGAAACUCAAAGGAAUUGACGG
This 897-nucleotide ribosomal RNA is filed under the name uncultured bacterium. Its description in RNAcentral is "bacterial SSU rRNA". It matches the Rfam family "Bacterial small subunit ribosomal RNA", at positions 8 to 916 of the family's 1533-position model. The record is from RNAcentral.